GAUGAACGCUGGCGGCGUGCCUAAUACAUGCAAGUCGAGCGAACAGACGAGGAGCUUUCUCCUCUGACGUUAUCGGCGGACGGGUGAGUAACACGUGGAUAACCCACCUAUAAGACUGGGAUAACUCAGGGAAACCGGAGCUAAUACCGGACAAUAUAUUUAACCGCAUGGUUCAGUAUUGAAAGACGGUUGUGCUGACACGUAUAGAUGGAUUCGCGCCGCAUUAGCUAGUUGGUAAGGUAACGGCUUACGAAGGGGACGAUGAGGAGCCGACUUGAUAGAGUGACCGCCCACACUGGACCUGGAACCCGCCCCGGACUCCUACGGAGGGCGGCGGUAGGGAACCUUCCGCAAUGGGCGAAAGCUUGACGGAGAAACGCGGCGGGAGUGUUGAGGGUCUCCGGAUCGUAAGCUUCUGUUAUUGGGGAGGAACAAAUGUGUAAGAAACGAUGCACGUCUUGACGGUACCGAAACAGAAAGCCACGGCUAACUACGUG
Molecule: ribosomal RNA, 497 nt
Filed under: uncultured bacterium
Lineage: Bacteria
Description: partial 16S ribosomal RNA
Rfam family: Bacterial small subunit ribosomal RNA
Source: RNAcentral